UACGGAGGGUGCAAGCGUUGUCCGGAUUUAUUGGGUUUAAAGGGUGCGUAGGCGGCUUGGUAAGUCCGUGGUGAAAGCCAACAGCUCAACUGUUGAACUGCCAUGGAAACUGGAGAACUUGAGUACAGACGAGGGCGGCGGAAUGGAUGGUGUAGCGGUGAAAUGCAUAGAUACCAUCCAGAACCCCGAUUGCGAAGGCAGCUGCCUAGACUGUAACUGACGCUGAGGCACGAAAGCGUGGGGAGCGAACAGG
Molecule: ribosomal RNA, 253 nt
Filed under: uncultured bacterium
Lineage: Bacteria
Description: partial 16S ribosomal RNA
Rfam family: Bacterial small subunit ribosomal RNA
Source: RNAcentral